GCAUGCCUGGUUCCCUGUAUGCCAUCUGCUAAGCCCACCAGAAAACUGGCGGCCAAAGUGAAUGGCAUCCAUGGAGCCAUGCAUAU
This is a microRNA precursor of Prunus persica (peach), 86 nucleotides long. It matches the Rfam family "mir-160 microRNA precursor family". Rfam says of the family: The hairpin precursors (represented here) are predicted based on base pairing and cross-species conservation -- their extents are not known. In this case the mature sequence is excised from the 5' arm of the hairpin. The record is from Rfam. NCBI's taxonomy places the organism in Eukaryota, Viridiplantae, Streptophyta, Magnoliopsida, Rosales, Rosaceae.